Molecule: ribosomal RNA, 1372 nt
Filed under: uncultured bacterium
Lineage: Bacteria
Description: bacterial SSU rRNA
Rfam family: Bacterial small subunit ribosomal RNA
Source: RNAcentral
GAUGAACGCUGGCGGCGUGCCUAAUACAUGCUAGUCGAGCGAACGGACGAGAAGCUUGCUUCUCUGAUGUUAGCGGCGGACGGGUGAGUAACACGUGGAUAACCUACCUAUAAGACUGGGAUAACUUCGGGAAACCGGAGCUAAUACCGGAUAAUAUUUUGAACCGCAUGGUUCAAAAGUGAAAGACGGUCUUGCUGUCACUUAUAGAUGGAUCCGCGCUGCAUUAGCUAGUUGGUAAGGUAACGGCUUACCAAGGCAACGAUGCAUAGCCGACCUGAGAGGGUGAUCGGCCACACUGGAACUGAGACACGGUCCAGACUCCUACGGGAGGCAGCAGUAGGGAAUCUUCCGCAAUGGGCGAAAGCCUGACGGAGCAACGCCGCGUGAGUGAUGAAGGUCUUCGGAUCGUAAAACUCUGUUAUUAGGGAAGAACAUAUGUGUAAGUAACUGUGCACAUCUUGACGGUACCUAAUCAGAAAGCCACGGCUAACUACGUGCCAGCAACCGCGGUAAUACGUAGGUGGCAAGCGUUAUCCGGAAUUAUUGGGCGUAAAGCGCGCGUAGGCGGUUUUUUAAGUCUGAUGUGAAAGCCCACGGCUCAACCGUGGAGGGUCAUUGGAAACUGGAAAACUUGAGUGCAGAAGAGGAAAGUGGAAUUCCAUGUGUAGCGGUGAAAUGCGCAGAGAUAUGGAGGAACACCAGUGGCGAAGGCGACUUUCUGGUCUGUAACUGACGCUGAUGUGCGAAAGCGUGGGGAUCAAACAGGAUUAGAUACCCUGGUAGUCCACGCCGUAAACGAUGAGUGCUAAGUGUUAGGGGGUUUCCGCCCCUUAGUGCUGCAGCUAACGCAUUAAGCACUCCGCCUGGGGAGUACGACCGCAAGGUUGAAACUCAAAGGAAUUGACGGGGACCCGCACAAGCGGUGGAGCAUGUGGUUUAAUUCGAAGCAACGCGAAGAACCUUACCAAAUCUUGACAUCCUUUGACAACUCUAGAGAUAGAGCCUUCCCCUUCGGGGGACAAAGUGACAGGUGGUGCAUGGUUGUCGUCAGCUCGUGUCGUGAGAUGUUGGGUUAAGUCCCGCAACGAGCGCAACCCUUAAGCUUAGUUGCCAUCAUUAAGUUGGGCACUCCAAGUUGACUGCCGGUGACAAACCGGAGGAAGGUGGGGAUGACGUCAAAUCAUCAUGCCCCUUAUGAUUUGGGCUACACACGUGCUACAAUGGACAAUACAAAGGGCAGCGAAACCGCGAGGUCAAGCAAAUCCCAUAAAGUUGUUCUCAGUUCGGAUUGUAGUCUGCAACUCGACUACAUGAAGCUGGAAUCGCUAGUAAUCGUAGAUCAGCAUGCUACGGUGAAUACGUUCCCGGGUCU